CCCCCCGUUUUUUUCAAAAACAUCGCCUCUUGCAAAAUAAAUGAAUAAGAGGUCCCGCCUGCCCUGUGACUAUAUGUUCAACGGCCGCGGUAUUUUGACCGUGCGAAGGUAGCGCAAUCACUUGUCUUUUAAAUGAAGACCUGUAUGAAUGGCAUCACGAGGGCUUAGCUGUCUCCCCCUCCCAGUCAAUGAAAUUGAUUUUCCCGUGCAGAAGCGGGAAUAAGAACAUAAGACGAGAAGACCCUAUGGAGCUUAAGACGCCAGGACAGCUCAUGUUAAACACCCCAGAACAAAGGGAAUAAACUUAGUGAAACCCUGCCCUAGUGUCUUUGGUUGGGGCGACCACGGGGAAAAACUUAACCCCCAUGCGGAAUAGGAAUACUAUUUUCCUAGACUCAAGAGCUCCCGCUCUAAUAGACAGAAUUUCUGACCAAAAGGAUCCGGCAAUGCCGAUCAACGGACCGAGUUACCCUAGGGAUAACAGCGCAAUCCUCUUUAAGAGUCCCUAUCGACAAGAGGGUUUACGACCUCGAUGUUGGAUCAGGACAUCCUAAUGGUGCAGCCGCUAUUAAGGGUUCGCUGUCAACGAUAAGUC
RNAcentral lists this ribosomal RNA (595 nucleotides) under Acanthopagrus latus (yellowfin seabream). Its description in RNAcentral is "partial 16S ribosomal RNA". It matches the Rfam family "Bacterial large subunit ribosomal RNA", at positions 1794 to 2595 of the family's 2925-position model. The record is from RNAcentral. Lineage: Eukaryota; Metazoa; Chordata; Actinopteri; Spariformes; Sparidae.